This 435-nucleotide ribosomal RNA is filed under the name uncultured bacterium. RNAcentral describes it as "bacterial SSU rRNA". It matches the Rfam family "Bacterial small subunit ribosomal RNA", at positions 383 to 810 of the family's 1533-position model. The record is from RNAcentral.
GGGACGAAGCGACGCCGCGUGUGGGAAGAAGGCCUUCGGUGUAAACCACUGUCAGGAGUUAAGAAAUGCAAGGGUGUAAAUAGCAUCCUUGCUUGACUAAGGCUCCAGAGGAGGCCACGGCUAACUCUGUGCCAGCAGCCGCGGUAAUACAGAGGUGGCAAGCGUUGUUCGGAAUUAUUGGGCGUAAAGAGCACGUAGGCGGCUCUGCAAGUCAGCCGUGGAAGCCUUCUGCUUAACGGAAGAACAGCAGUUGAUACUACAGAGCUUGAGUGCGGGAGGGGGGAGUGGAACUUCUGGUGGAGCGGUGAAAUGCGUAGAUAUCAGAAGGAACGCCGGCGGCGAAAGCGACUCUCUGGCCCGUAACUAACGCUGAGUGUGCGAAAGCUAGGGGAGCAAACGGGAUUAGAUACCCCGGUAGUCCUAGCCGUAAACGAU